Molecule: ribosomal RNA, 466 nt
Filed under: uncultured bacterium
Lineage: Bacteria
Description: partial 16S ribosomal RNA
Rfam family: Bacterial small subunit ribosomal RNA
Source: RNAcentral
GACGAACGCUGGCGGCGUGCUUAACACAUGCAAGUCGAACGGAAAGGCCUCUUUCGGGGGGUACUCGAGUGGCGAACGGGUGAGUAACACGUGAGUAACCUGCCCUUGACUUUGGGAUAACUUCAGGAAACUGGGGCUAAUACCGGAUAGGAGCUCCAGCUGCAUGGUGGGGGUUGGAAAGUUUCGGCGGUUGGGGAUGGACUCGCGGCUUAUCAGCUUGUUGGUGGGGUAGUGGCUUACCAAGGCUUUGACGGGUAGCCGGCCUGAGAGGGUGACCGGCCACAUUGGGACUGAGAUACGGCCCAGACUCCUACGGGAGGCAGCAGUGGGGAAUAUUGCACAAUGGGUGGAAGCCUGAUGCAGCAACGCCGUGUGCGGGAUGACGGCCUUCGGGUUGUAAACCGCUUUCGCUCAUGACGAAGCUUUGUGUGACGGUAGUGGGUAAAGAAGCACCGGCUAACUACGU